Molecule: long non-coding RNA, 1062 nt
Organism: Ziziphus jujuba (common jujube)
Lineage: Eukaryota; Viridiplantae; Streptophyta; Magnoliopsida; Rosales; Rhamnaceae
Exons: 2
Source: RefSeq, a predicted model, not a curated record
AAUAAUAAUAAUCUAUAUAUUGUAAAAAAUAUAUGGUAUAUUACAUUUAAGGUUCAAUAUGACAUAAAAUAUUUAUAUUAAUUUAUUUAGAAUAAUGAUUUGUUUUUUUAUCUUUGUUACAACAUUUAUAAUGGUAUAUAUUAACUUAACAAUAUAGACACAUUUUUGUUCAAGCUAAAAUAUUUUUAACUACAAUUCUAUUAAAUUAUAGCUUUUUCAUAGUUAUAAAAUUAAUUUGGUUCUAACAUUAAGUAUGCUUUAUGCUUGUUAGACUAGUCCAUAUUUUAAUCAAUGGCUGCUUGCUUUUAACCGAUUACACCAUCUGGUGAAGUACACAAUAAAAAACUUUCCAAGCUCCUUCAAAAAUUGCAAAGCAACCUCAACGGAGACACCUAUGUAAAGAAAAAUGUGUAAAAAAGGUUUACAACACUAAUAUAUAUAUAUAUAUAUAUAUAUAUAUAAAUAUAAGAGAGCGAGAGAGAGAGAGAGAGAGGAGAAAAUUUCAUAAUGGGCAAGAUCAUCCAUCUAACAUGUUAGCGAAUAUUUGUUCGUUGACUCUGGUCAUCCCACAGAAAGGUGCAACGAGUUGUUGGCCCAAGUUGCUUGGAGUGGAGAGCCCAAUGUCACUGGACCUUACAAUCUUAAACCUCUUUUUAAAUUUUAGUUUGAUUUCCAUAAGACUAACGCUAAGAUAUAACUCCUACAUAUAACCGCCUACUUAGUUGUUAUCUAUAUUAAGCAAAACUAACCUAUAAAAAUGUUAAAGAAAUAAUAAAUUGAGGGAGGCAAGUUGGCCUAAUGUAAAUCCGCCCAUGGGACUCCUUCAUACAUAUUCUGUCCAACAAUUCGUAGAGACGGUGAUAGGCAGCCUAACCCAAGUCAUCAAAGAAAUAUAUAAGGUUAGAGCAAGGAAAAUCCCAAGCCUGUGGCCUGCAUUGGAGGACCCUAUUUCACUGGACCAUACAAUCUUAAAGCCCUUUUUGAAUUGUAGUUUGAUUUCCAUAAAGACGAUGCUCAUAUGUAACUCCCAUAUAUUACUUUGUGCUGUUUAUCCCCCCCCCC